AGAACGAACGCUGGCGGCGUGGAUAAGACAUGCAAGUCGAACGAGGUAGUUUGGUAGCAAUAUCAAACUGCCUAGUGGCAAACGGGUGCGUAACACGUAGGUUACAUUCCGGAAAGUGUGGGAUAGCCCAGGGAAACUUGGAUUAAUACCGCAUGUGAUCGCAAGAUCAAAGGCGAAAGCCGCUUUCUGAUUGGCCUGCGCCCUAUCAGCUAGUUGGUGAGGUAAUGGCUCACCAAGGCAACGACGGGUAGCUGGUCUGAGAGGACGACCAGCCACACUGGAACUGAGACACGGUCCAGACACCUACGGGUGGCAGCAGUCGAGAAUCUUUCACAAUGGGGGC
Molecule: ribosomal RNA, 343 nt
Filed under: uncultured bacterium
Lineage: Bacteria
Description: SSU rRNA
Rfam family: Bacterial small subunit ribosomal RNA
Source: RNAcentral